This 253-nucleotide ribosomal RNA is filed under the name uncultured bacterium. RNAcentral's name for it is "partial 16S ribosomal RNA". It matches the Rfam family "Bacterial small subunit ribosomal RNA", at positions 524 to 776 of the family's 1533-position model. The record is from RNAcentral.
UACGUAGGGGGCGAGCGUUGUCCGGAAUUACUGGGCGUAAAGAGCUCGUAGGCGGCCAGUUGCGUCUGCUGUGAAAUCCCGGGGCUCAACCCCGGGCGUGCAGUGGAUACGGGCUGGCUAGAGGCAGGCAGGGGAGAACGGAAUUCCCGGUGUAGCGGUGAAAUGCGCAGAUAUCGGGAGGAACACCGGUGGCGAAGGCGGUUCUCUGGGCCUGUACUGACGCUGAGGAGCGAAAGCGUGGGGAGCGAACAGG